ACCAGACUCCUACGGGAGGCAGCAGUGGGGAAUAUUGCACAAUGGGGGAAACCCUGAUGCAGCGACGCCGCGUGAGUGAAGAAGUAUUUCGGUAUGUAAAGCUCUAUCAGCAGGGAAGAAGUUGACGGUACCUGAGUAAGAAGCCCCGGCUAACUACGUGCCAGCAGCCGCGGUAAUACGUAGGGGGGCAAGCGUUAUCCGGAUUUACUGGGUGUAAAGGGAGCGUAGACGGCAGUGCAAGUCUGAAGUGAAAGCCCCGGGCUUAACCCGGGAACUGCUUUGGAAACUGUACGGCUGGAGUGCUGGAGAGGUAAGCGGAAUUCCUAGUGUAGCGGUGAAAUGCGUAGAUAUUAGGAGGAACACCAGUGGCGAAGGCGGCUUACUGGACAGUAACUGACGUUGAGGCUCGAAAGCGUGGGGAGCAAACAGGAUUAGAUACCCGCGUA
RNAcentral lists this ribosomal RNA (446 nucleotides) under uncultured bacterium. Its description in RNAcentral is "bacterial SSU rRNA". It matches the Rfam family "Bacterial small subunit ribosomal RNA", at positions 330 to 792 of the family's 1533-position model. The record is from RNAcentral.